RNAcentral lists this ribosomal RNA (338 nucleotides) under uncultured bacterium. RNAcentral's name for it is "bacterial SSU rRNA". It matches the Rfam family "Bacterial small subunit ribosomal RNA", at positions 30 to 366 of the family's 1533-position model. The record is from RNAcentral.
AUUGAACGCUGGCGGCAGGCCUAACACAUGCAAGUCGAGCGGAUGAGUGGAGCUUGCUCCAUGAUUCAGCGGCGGACGGGUGAGUAAUGCCUAGGAAUCUGCCUGGUAGUGGGGGACAACGUUUCGAAAGGAACGCUAAUACCGCAUACGUCCUACGGGAGAAAGCAGGGGACCUUCGGGCCGUUGCGUUAUCAGAUGAGCCUAGGUCGGAUUAGCUAGUAGGUGAGGUAAUGGCUCACCCUAGGCGACGAUCCGUAACUGGUCUGAGAGGAUGAUCAGUCACACUGGAACUGAGACACGGUCCAGACUCCUACGGGAGGCAGCAGUGGGGAAGUAUU